Molecule: long non-coding RNA, 711 nt
Filed under: Nicotiana benthamiana
Lineage: Eukaryota; Viridiplantae; Streptophyta; Magnoliopsida; Solanales; Solanaceae
Description: long non-coding RNA (NBEN_LNC005108)
Source: RNAcentral
UUCCGGAAACAGGAAAAAAUGGUGAUACGAGCCGUUAUUAAAUUCGGAUCCAGGUAUAGCAUAGUGGGAUCCGAGAAGCUUGACCCUGAUCUCAUGGAAUAGCUUUGGUGCGCUGAUUUACACGUUACUCACCGGAAGCAACGGAAGAAGGAAACAAAAUCACAAUGGCGAGGAGACGAUUGUUGCUCUUAUUAAAGCCUUUCGACGUGUUACCAACAAACCAAUCAGAUAACAAUUUUUCAUUUCAGAAACCCUAAGGUAAUCUCACAUAGUUAAAGCAACUUGAUAUUUACCGUCUUUUCUUUCUCUGUUGUUGCUACAUUUGUUAAAAAGCUCGAGAAAUGUCUGCAGCGUUAUGCGUUAACUCAUUCUAAUUAGUAUGUGUAUUUUAAGUGUUUUAUAGUAUGUCAGAGCCAGACAAGAGGAGUUGCUCUGAUGGUAAGCAACCCGCUUCCAACCGAGAGGUUAUGAGUUCGAGUCUACCCAAGAGCAAGAUGAGAAGUUCUUGGAGGGAAGUAUGUCGGCGGUCUAUUUGGAAACAACAUCUCUACCCUAGGGUAGGGGUAAGGUCUGCGUACACACUACCCUCCCCAGACCCCACUAAGUGAGAUUAUACUGGGUUGUUGUUGUUGUUGUAUGGUAUGUCAGAGCCAGUUAUAUGCUUAUUUCGUCAUUCAAACUUAUGUACAUGCUGGUGGUGAUUCCGUAGAG